This 464-nucleotide ribosomal RNA is filed under the name uncultured bacterium. Its description in RNAcentral is "partial 16S ribosomal RNA". It matches the Rfam family "Bacterial small subunit ribosomal RNA", at positions 339 to 795 of the family's 1533-position model. The record is from RNAcentral.
CUACGGGAUGCACCAGUGGGGAAUAUUGCACAAUGGGCGCAAGCCUGAUGCAGCCAUGCCGCGUGUAUGAAGAAGGCCUUCGGGUUGUAAAGUACUUUCAGCGGGGAGGAAGGGAGUAAAGUUAAUACCUUUGCUCAUUGACGUUACCCGCAGAAGAAGCACCGGCUAACUCCGUGCCAGCAGCCGCGGUAAUACGGAGGGUGCAAGCGUUAAUCGGAAUUACUGGGCGUAAAGCGCACGCAGGCGGUUUGUUAAGUCAGAUGUGAAAUCCCCGGGCUCAACCUGGGAACUGCAUCUGAGACUGGCAGGCUUGAGUCUCGUAGAGGGGGGUAGAAUUCCAGGUGUAGCGGUGAAAUGCGUAGAGAUCUGGAGGAAUACCGGUGGCGAAGGCGGCCCCCUGGACGAAGACUGACGCUCAGGUGCGAAAGCGUGGGGAGCAAACAGGAUUAGAUACCCGAGUAGUC